RNAcentral lists this ribosomal RNA (1215 nucleotides) under metagenome. RNAcentral's name for it is "SSU rRNA". It matches the Rfam family "Eukaryotic small subunit ribosomal RNA", at positions 558 to 1774 of the family's 1831-position model. The record is from RNAcentral.
AGUCUGGUGCCAGCAGCCGCGGUAAUUCCAGCUCCAAUAGCGUAUAUUAAAUUUGCUGCAGUUAAAAAGCUCGUAGUUGGAUGUGUGGUGUGGUGCGUCUGGUCGCCUGCGAGCAAUCGUGGGUGUGUACCGGUGUGCGUGCCUGCCAUUCGGGUUUGUUGUACAUCGAAAGGUGUAUGGUAAGCCCCGUUUACUUUGAGUAAAUUAGAGUGUUCCAAGCAGGCGAUGGUGCCGUGAAUACAUGAGCAUGGAAUAAUGAGAUAGGACUCGGGUUCUGUUUUGUUGGUUUCCGGUGAUCUGAGUAAUGAUUGAUAGGGACAGUUGGGGGUGCUAGUAUUCAACGGCCAGAGGUGAAAUUCUUGGAUUCGUUGAAGACUAACUUGUGCGAAAGCAUUCACCAAGGAUGUCUUCUUUAAUCAAGAACGAAAGUUGGGGGAUCGAAGACGAUCAGAUACCGUCGUAGUCUCAACUAUAAACGAUGCCAACUAGGGAUACGUGGAUGUUUGUUCGAAGACUCCAUGUGCACCUGACGAGAAGUCCAAGUCUUUGGGUUCCGGGGGGAGUAUGGUCGCAAGGCUGAAACUUAAAGGAAUUGACGGAAGGGCACACCAGGAGUGGAGCCUGCGGCUUAAUUUGACCCAACACGGGGAAACUUACCAGGUCCAGACAAUAAGAGGAUUGACAGAUUGAAGAUCUUUUUUGAUUUAUUGAGUGGUGGUGCAUGGCCGUUCUUAGUUGGUGGAGUGAUUUGUCUGGUUUAUUCCGUUAACGAACGAGACCUCGACUUGUUAAGUAGGUGCGGCUAUCCUGUGAAAGGGCUAGUCUUUGAAAGGUGUACCUUCUUAAAGGGACUCUCGGUGCGUAGCCGAUGGAAGUUCGAGGCAAUAACAGGUCUGUGAUGCCCUUAGAUGUUCUGGGCCGCACGCGCGCUACACUGAUGUGUUCACUGAGCUCUUGCGUGAAAAACAAGCCUUGGCCGAAAGGCCCGGGGAAUUUGUGAAAGCACAUCGUGAUGGGGAUAGAUUAUUGCAAUUUUUAAUCUUCAACGAGGAAUUCCUAGUAAACGCGGGUCAUCAGCUCGCAUUGACUACGUCUCCGCCCUUUGUACACACCGCCCGUCGCUACUACCGAUUGAAUGAUUUAGUGAGUUUUGCGGAUUCCGUGUGUGGGUGUCAAAGCCUGUGCGUGGGAGAAGCAGCGCAAACUUGACCAUUU